This 758-nucleotide long non-coding RNA is filed under the name Pogona vitticeps (central bearded dragon). RNAcentral describes it as "lncRNA (ENSPVIG00000005331.1)". Lineage: Eukaryota; Metazoa; Chordata; Lepidosauria; Squamata; Agamidae. The record is from RNAcentral.
CCAGCAAGAGGGCAAGGGCGGCCGGAACGAGGCGCGGAUCCUGAGCCGGCUUCUAGCUUUGGGGACUCGGGUUUGCCUUUAAGAGGGAGUGUUCAAGACGGAAAGUCAGGGUUGCCCUGAAACUUCGGAGCUCCUUCCGUUCUCUGGCGACCGGGAACUUCUUUGAUGGAAAGUGCCGCCAGGGAAACGAUCACUUACAGCAAAAUAAGUUGGCCAAUUCUUAGUGAAGAUUCCAGAAGGACACCUAUAUCUACAUUCAGGGUACAGACGAGAGAAAGGUCUCAAAUUUCAAAAAUGGCUAAGGAUUGUGCAAGUCCAAGAAGAGCCAUCUGUAAGGAACAUGUUUUCCAAAUGACUCCCUGAUAAAUUCCCGGUCUACAAAGAUGAAACGUUCAAUGCAUUUUAUGUUCGGCGUUGAUGGGCCUGACUGGUGCAAUUUCAGUUUGCAUUCAAGAAGUUGCAUGUCUCUGCAUGGGAAAGAGUGGAGACAGAAGACCUCCAGCCUCCUGGACUGUCCUUUAUUUACUCUAGCUUGGGCCAAACUUCCUUUGUCCUUGCAGUGCUUUUCUUAGGGUUGCUAAUGUCAUGUCCUUCCUUCUCAAACUUCUUUUCUUGUCUCUCCAAGGAGGAGACAUAUUGCCUUUGUUCUCCUGUACCUCUUUAUACUUAUUCUCCAUCAGAUAUAAUACAUUUAUGGUCUUUCUGAUGUUAACAGGGCUCAAAAUAAAUAUUGCUCAAAGUAUUACGUAAGUGUAACA